This 1146-nucleotide ribosomal RNA is filed under the name uncultured organism. RNAcentral describes it as "bacterial SSU rRNA". It matches the Rfam family "Bacterial small subunit ribosomal RNA", at positions 153 to 1307 of the family's 1533-position model. The record is from RNAcentral.
GAAAGGGGCGGUACUACCGGAUGAAGUCGAAAGACCAAAGAUUUAUCGGCACUUGAUCGACCUAUCUCCUAUCACCUUGUUGGUGAGGUAACGGCUCACCAAUGCUACGACCGGUUAUGCUGGGACUGAGAGGUUGGCCCGCCACAUCGGGACUGAUACAUCUGCCCGGACCUCCACGGAGGGCUGCAGUAACGGAUAUUGGGCAAUUGUGGCGAAAACCUGAGCCAGCAAUGCCGCGUGUAGGAGGAAGCCCCUCGGGGUGUAAACUACUGUCAAGGGUCAUAAAGCUAACUUCGGUUAGUUGAUCAGCCCCAGAGGAAGUCACGGCUAACUUCGUGCCAGCAUCCGCGGUAAGACGAAUGUGGCAAGCGUUGUCCGGAAUCACUGGGCUUACAGGGCACUCAGGCGGAAUAGAUAGUGUCGUGUGAAAUCCCCCGGCUUAACCGGGGAAUUGCUCGGCAAACUGCUAUUCUUGAGGCAAGUAAGGGUAUGUGGAACUCUUGGUGGAGCGGUGGAAUGCGUAGAUAUCAAGAGGAACGCCGAAGGUGAAGACAGCAUACUGGGCUUGGCCUGACGCUGAGGUGCGAAAGCGUGGGGAGCGAACGGGAUUAGAUACCCCGGUAGUCCACGCCGUAAACGAUGUCUACUAGCUUGUGGCUGUUCUGACACAAACACGGCCGAAGCAAAAGUGUUAAGUAGACCGCCUGGGGAGUACGGCCGCAAGGCUCAAACUCAAAGGAAUUGACGGGGGCUCACACAAGCGGUGGAGCAUGUGGAUUAAUUCGAAGCAACGCGCAGAACCUUACCUGGGUUUGACAUGCUUGGAUGCCUGCCUGGAAACAGGUUAGGUUGCCCUUCGGGGUGAAACUUGCACAGGUGCUGCAUGGCUGUCGUCAGCUCGUGUCGUGAGAUGUCGGGUUAAGUCCUUUAACGAGCGAAACCCUUCUCGUUAGUUGCCAGCGGGUAAUGCCGGGGACUCUAACGGGACUGCCGGUGUCAAACCGGAGGAAGCCGGGGAUGACGUCAAGUCCUCAUGGCCCAUAUGCCCAGGGCCUCACACGCGCUACAAUGGCGAUCACAGAGGGACGCAAGACCGCGAGGUGGAGCAAAGCCCGGAAAGGUCGCCCCAGUUCGGAUUGCAGACUG